Molecule: ribosomal RNA, 434 nt
Filed under: uncultured Clostridium sp.
Lineage: Bacteria; Bacillati; Bacillota; Clostridia; Eubacteriales; Clostridiaceae
Description: partial 16S ribosomal RNA
Rfam family: Bacterial small subunit ribosomal RNA
Source: RNAcentral
ACGGAAGGCAGCAGUGGGGAAUAUUGCACAAUGGGGGAAACCCUGAUGCAGCGACGCCGCGUGAGUGAAGAAGUAUUUCGGUAUGUAAAGCUCUAUCAGCAGGGAAGAAAAUGACGGUACCUGACUAAGAAGCCCCGGCUAACUACGUGCCAGCAGCCGCGGUAAUACGUAGGGGGCAAGCGUUAUCCGGAUUUACUGGGUGUAAAGGGAGCGCAGACGGCAAGGCAAGUCUGAUGUGAAAGGUGGGGGCUCAACCCCCAAACUGCAUUGGAAACUGUCUGGCUAGAGUGCCGGAGAGGUAAGCGGAAUUCCUAGUGUAGCGGUGAAAUGCGUAGAUAUUAGGAGGAACACCAGUGGCGAAGGCGGCUUACUGGACGGUAACUGACGUUGAGGCUCGAAAGCGUGGGGAGCAAACAGGAUUAGAUACCCUGGUA